UACAGAGGGUGCGAGCGUUGUCCGGAAUCACUGGGCGUAAAGGGCGCGUAGGCGGUGACUUAAGCGUGUGGUGAAAGCUCGGGGCUCAACCCCGAGUCGGCCGUGCGAACUGGGUCACUGGAGCAUGUCAGAGGCAGGCGGAAUUCCGGGUGUAGCGGUGGAAUGCGUAGAUAUCUGGAGGAACACCGGUGGCGAAGGCGGCAUCCUGGACCGACACUGACACUGAGGAGCGAAAGCCAGGGGAGCAAACGGG
Molecule: ribosomal RNA, 253 nt
Filed under: uncultured bacterium
Lineage: Bacteria
Description: partial 16S ribosomal RNA
Rfam family: Bacterial small subunit ribosomal RNA
Source: RNAcentral